Molecule: ribosomal RNA, 269 nt
Filed under: uncultured prokaryote
Description: partial 16S ribosomal RNA
Rfam family: Bacterial small subunit ribosomal RNA
Source: RNAcentral
GACGAACCAUCCAAACGUUAUUCGGAAUCACUGGGCUUAAAGGGUGCGUAGGCGGCCCGGUAAGUUGGGUGUGAAAUACCUCAGCCUAACUGAGGAACUGCGCCCAAAACUGCCAGACUCGAGGAAGACAGAGGUGAGCGGAACUUAGGGUGAAGCGGUGAAAUGCGUUGAUAUCCUAAGGAACACCAGUAGCGAAGGCGGCUCACUGGGUCUUAUCUGACGCUGAGGCACGAAAGCUAGGGGAGCGAACGGGAUUAGAUACCCCAGUA